This is a non-coding RNA of Odocoileus virginianus texanus, 430 nucleotides long. The record is from RefSeq and is a predicted model, not a curated record. NCBI's taxonomy places the organism in Eukaryota, Metazoa, Chordata, Mammalia, Artiodactyla, Cervidae.
GGGCAUCCCAGGAAGACGGUGCUGGAGAGAAUUUACAGGGUUGGACCUUGUAUUAGGUAAUUUGGGGGAGGGUUCCAGGAAGCAGGCCUUCUCUCUGGAUUGGAUGCUGUUAAGGAGAUGAAGGACUCCUUGAGCAAAUGGCUGAUUCCAGAGCUGCGGCACAGGAGGUACAAGAUGAGCCUGGAACAUCUUCUUGUGCUAUAAAGUGUUUGCUUGGACAGGAAGGCAAAUGAAGAUGGUUCUCCUUCUUGGCUACUAUUGAAGGCUGAGUCAUUGAGCUUCUGCAGAAGUUGGAAGAGGCAAUCCUUAGCGGAAACAUUUAAGAACCAGGGGUUCCCUGAGAGAACCCUUCUUUUGAUCUGGAGUUAUCUGUUACUGACCACAGACAGCUGCUACUGACAAUUCCCGGGACAGGGCCCUGUAGAGUGAG